UACGUAGGGGGCUAGCGUUGUCCGGAAUCAUUGGGCGUAAAGAGCGUGUAGGCGGCCCGGUAAGUCCGCUGUGAAAGUCAAAGGCUCAACCUUUGAAAGCCGGUGGAAACUGUGGGGCUAGAGUCCGGAAGAGGCGAGUGGAAUUCCUGGUGUAGCGGUGGAAUGCGCAGAUAUCAGGAGGAACACCAAUAGCGAAGGCAGCUCGCUGGGACGGUACUGACGCUAAGGCGCGAAAGCGUGGGGAGCGAACGAGG
This 254-nucleotide ribosomal RNA is filed under the name uncultured bacterium. Its description in RNAcentral is "partial 16S ribosomal RNA". It matches the Rfam family "Bacterial small subunit ribosomal RNA", at positions 524 to 777 of the family's 1533-position model. The record is from RNAcentral.